Molecule: long non-coding RNA, 209 nt
Organism: Sapajus apella (tufted capuchin)
Lineage: Eukaryota; Metazoa; Chordata; Mammalia; Primates; Cebidae
Exons: 3
Source: RefSeq, a predicted model, not a curated record
CAUGAAGUACAACCAAGCGAGCACAAAAUCACCACUGAGACAAAGACUAGGCCAAAUUACAUGGUGUGUAUUGCCGGCGGCCACAGAGGACUCGUGUCUCUCUAACCGGUGGCUCUGAAAGGAGGGUGUCAAGAACUUUUAUGCUCAUAAACCACCUCCUGGGUGGGGGUGUGGGUGAGGGGCUUUUGACAUUCUGAGGGCCAGGGGAC